Molecule: ribosomal RNA, 253 nt
Filed under: uncultured bacterium
Lineage: Bacteria
Description: partial 16S ribosomal RNA
Rfam family: Bacterial small subunit ribosomal RNA
Source: RNAcentral
UACGAAGGGGACUAGCGUUGUUCGGAAUCACUGGGCGUAAAGCGCACGUAGGCGGAUGUGUCAGUCAGGGGUGAAAUCCCGGGGCUCAACCUCGGAACUGCCUUUGAUACAGCACGUCUCGAGUCCGGAAGAGGUGGGUGGAAUUCCUAGUGUAGAGGUGAAAUUCGUAGAUAUUAGGAAGAACACCGGUGGCGAAGGCGGCCCACUGGUCCGGUACUGACGCUGAGGCGCGAAAGCGUGGGGAGCAAACAGG